GAUGAAGAACGCAGCGAAAUGCGAUACGUAAUGUGAAUUGCAGAAUUCAGUGAAUCAUCGAGUCUUUGAACGCACAUUGCGCCCCCUGGUAUUCCGGGGGGCAUGCCUGUCCGAGCGUCAUUGCUGCCCUCAAGCACGGCUUGUGUGUUGGGCCCCGUCCUCCGAUCCCGGGGGACGGGCCCGAAAGGCAGCGGCGGCACCGCGUCCGGUCCUCGAGCGUAUGGGGCUUUGUCACCCGCUCUGUAGGCCCGGCCGGCGCUUGCCGAUCAACCCAAAUUUUUAUCCAGGUUGACCUCGGAUCAGGUAGGGAUACCCGCUGAACUUAAGCAUAUCAAUAAGCGGAGGA
RNAcentral lists this unclassified non-coding RNA (346 nucleotides) under soil metagenome. RNAcentral describes it as "partial contains 5.8S ribosomal RNA, internal transcribed spacer 2, and large subunit ribosomal RNA". The stretch from base 1 to 120 matches the Rfam family "5.8S ribosomal RNA", at positions 35 to 154 of the family's 154-position model. The record is from RNAcentral.